Molecule: long non-coding RNA, 4326 nt
Organism: Gorilla gorilla gorilla (western lowland gorilla)
Lineage: Eukaryota; Metazoa; Chordata; Mammalia; Primates; Hominidae
Exons: 3
Source: RefSeq, a predicted model, not a curated record
CCUGUUUACAAAGUUCUGAGAGACCUCUGUGGUUCUGAAGUUCUGCACCUUUGGGAAAGAAUGCUGGGGAAGUAGGAGGAAAUCUUGAGUAAGGGGCUCAUUUUAUUUUAUUUUUUCUACAGACUGCAAUCAGUUGAGGGAUGAUGUGGACUAGGAAUUGCAUUGUGUAUUCAGCCACCAAGUUGCAGGAAAAGUGGACCACUUGUCCCCCCACUUCCUUGUCCCCAGGACCAAAUGCAACUCCCUGAAAACCAGGAAAAAGCCGAGCAUCAGGGUGCUGGUGACUCAUGGCACUGGAGAGACCUAAAGCAGUCUUCACAUUUAUACCUGAUCUAACUCCAGAAAGGCACCUCUGGGGCCAGCUUCCAGCAGCUGCACUGGGACCCUGCAGGGGAAGUCAGCACUGCACUGUAACCAGAUCACCUGGGAAAGCAACCCCCAGGGCCGGGGCCGGCAGCCUGGGUAACCGAGGAGCUAAACGCUCCUGAGAGUUGUGCCUCCAGGUUUCCCUGGAUUUCUUUUGGGCCCUUCCAAGCUGAGGCAGGGGGUGGGUUGGGGGUGGAGCAGGAGAAUAGGAGGCCGGUAGUGAGAGGCACAAGCCCCCUCCCGGCAACAGUGAGCUUGAAGAUAUGCAGCCAAGUGCAAGUGCUGCAGCCGCCCCCGCUGGGAUGGGUGGGGCUGUGACUCUCCAGCGCCCUGAGGAGAGAAGCUCCUCUGGCCCCCCUAACCAAGCAGUGGUGAUGAGGCCAGAAAUCAGAGCCUAUUCAGAGCUCAACGCACAGGCUCUCUCUCCUCUCCCCCUCGACCCCCUGGGAUUAUCCAUUUCCUUCAAAAGCAAUUCUUGCUUCUACUCCCAGGACCUAAGGCCCGCCUGUCAAGCAGCGAAUUUCAACAGGUCUUUUUAAAGUGACAGAGCCCCCAGGUGUGCUUACCAAAAGAACAUGGUCUCGUGUGUACCUCAUGUGCUCCUUCCUCCAGCUUUUUGUGAGUAAGACUAACUUUCCCAACCGUUCUGGAUGUAAAUCCGUGUACCGGCAAGAGUCCUGACUGGCUCUGAUGGUACCCCGGAUUUGGGACCGGGUGAGCUUGGCUCCAGGAGUUUUCAGAAAGCCCUCCAGUCUAAUGCAGAGACAGGAGCCCAGCUGGCCCCUCCAAGCAGGCUUGGGAAGGGGGCCCACCCUGAGUUUAAGCCCGGGAAACCCAGGGGCCCAGCUGCCUGACGGAAGUCAGCCAAUGGGGGAGGGGCAGGACCCCUGGCCAAGCUCUCUGUAGUGCAGCUUGAGGACUAAGUGUGGGGAUAGAGGGCACAUAGGCACUGCGAGGUGAGGGGAAAACAAAACAAAACAAAACAUUCUGGCGAUGUGUGUAAGAAGCAGAUCUGCCUGGAGCCCAGGCUCCUGCCCUGGUUACUUGGCUGCCAAUGGGCAACUCUGAGGGCCAUGUCACCCUUCCCAGGCCAGGAGGAGUCUGGGAUGAACCCCACGUCUCUGUGCUUCCCCCAGGUCAGUUGCACCCAUAACUCAAAGACCGAGGUCCCUCAUUCCAAUCCUCUCUCCAGCCCUCCGGGGAGGGGGCAGCACCAUUUUCCAGAGCGGCGCACUGUGACACCUCCACGCUCAUCCCACCAAUCAGUCAAUAACUGCCCAAACCAGAGCCCUUACAGGAACAGAAGAAUAUCCAGCAAUAAAAACUAGAAACAUGCCCCAUGACUUGUGGGGGGGGGGGGGGGGGUCAGUGUGCAGACACAGCCUCAAGGACUUUUCAUCAACGACGAACAUUCCCAAUUGCCUUCAGUCUGUGUCCUUAACACUUAGGCAGUCCGCCACGACCCCGGGCUGCCCAGCUUCUCCUGCCCGACUCAGCUGCGCUGGUCCUGCUCACACCAGCGCACAGUCCAAGCCAGCUAGGACGCCGGGGCCACGUCUGCACCAACCCAGCCAAGGGCUCGAGGCGCGCUAGGCCUGCACAGCCCGCGGCUGCAAGAGCACUCAGAGUGUCCUUCAACUCUUUGCAGAAAACUUCACAGCCAAGGAAGCUCAGCGGCCUGAGCCACAGGGUUUUGUUUUGUGUGUUCAGAGGCAACAGUUUAUUUUGGUUUGCAGCGGUGUCCUGUGACAGCGCAGCGAGUUUCUCUUCAGCGAAAGAAAAGAAAAAAGCCCUCUCCCAGUGAAACGGGACACCACGGUUCCCAGUGGCCCAGGGCCUUGGAGAUUGAACUUUGCUGCAGCUCUCAUUCCGGGGCAAAGCGCUUGGCCGGCUGGUGACAAAAGAGCCUGUCUGCAGGUUGGCGCAAUACUUUCAGCAUGUGAACACCACAUGGGAAAGAAGCUGGCAUUGAACUUAGGUUUCCAGAGCAUCUAUUAUGGUCUGCACCCUCCUGGGAAACGGGUAUAUGUUAUCUAUGGUAAUUGACACAAGGAUACUACGAAACAGGCGAUUUUAUCACCAUUUGUUAAAUUAAGAAAGAAAUUGGCUUAAGCAAUGUAAGUAACUCACCCAGCUCACCCAAUGAGUGGCCAGGAUGAAUCUGGGCUGUCUGGUCGGAGCCUGUGAGAGCCAUACUGCCUGCCUUUGUCAAGUGGCAGCUCCUCCUGCUGUGUUCUGGGGAAAGUGCUGGGGAAAGUCAAUUAACGGCACUGGACCUGGCCUUCGAGCCAGCAUCCUCACUUGCAAAUAAGGCUGAGUGGAGCCUUUUGAUGCAAAGAUUAAGUGUAUGUGAAGGUGCCUUGUAAACUGUGAAGUGGCAUGCACGUGGCACACAGAGGUGUCAGGAUGCUUACCGUCUCAGCUGGUCAGUACACAGGACUAUGAAGAUGACAAGGGCAAGCCCCACUUGCUUUACAUUUAUUUUAAAAGCCCCUCUAGCAUGAGACAACAAGGUGAACUGAUGGCUCCUCAUUCCACUCCCUGAGUGCAGCUAAUUUUUCAUCUGCAGGCAGGCAGUUUUGCAAACAAGGCUCUGAACUUGAAGCUCAGAGGGUGAGCGAGACCUCGUGCCCCCGGGGCCUCUGCUUGCUCCAUGUCGGUGCCCCAACGUCCAGGGAUGCAAAGCACAGAGGACCCUUAGAAGCCACACCUGGAAGUGCUCAUUCAAUGGACCGAGGGAUGAAAGUGAGGAGAGAGUUAGGGGAGCUGUGCACAGUAAGUAGGGGCUGGAAAUGGGAUGUGACCCAGGACAUCCAGCAUGGUUAGAUUUGGCCAGGAGAGCUGUGACAAUAGGGGAAGCUGGUCCCCAAACCCCACACCCUUUUAAAAAAUCAAUCCUGGUGGGCGCAGUGGCAGAAGGACCUGAGUUUGUUACAAAGACCUCAGCAAUCCUCUCCCUCUCCUGACCUGUAAACACCAAGACAAUGCAAGUGUCAGACGCCUCUCCGCCCGCAAUGAGGCCUGGGAAGCCCAAGUUGAUUGGCUUUCUUUCCAGGAAGGCAGAGCCCAGACGCACUUCAAGAGUCACCUGUUGCCUAUUACAAUGAAGUUAGAUGUCUCCUGACCUCAGCCCAUCUGUGAAGUUAAAAACCCUGUUGGAUAAAAAGUUUCUGCUUCAGUCUUGCUGUCCACGCCCGUGGAAGAAACUACAAUAGGGGAUUUACUCUCCUGGCCCAAAUCAGGUCCAGCUUCUGGGCCUCCCUACUCCAUGCUGGGGGAUACUGGACAUUCAGAGUGCCUUUCUGUCAGCCCCGCAACACAGCCCCACUGGGGUGGCUGACUGUGCUGACCUUGUGUCUCUGAGCUCAGUUUCAACUGGGGUGUAUCUGAGGGUUAGUCUUCAGAGACCUUGGAAUGAGGUAAGACUUUCCUAGUUCCAUGUAGGUGAUUAUUUUUCCUUUUGUCUAUAUUGAGUUAUUUUGGUUCAUUUGAGAAGUAACUGGGCAGGAGGCUUGUUGACAUUUACUUGAAAUGCCAUCCUUUGUCACCUCUAAAUCAAUCUGUCCUCUUCUCCAGGAUGGGAUCUCUUUGAAACGAGUAGUUUCAUUUUCAAGGUCGGGGCUCUAGCACCUAGCCCAGUGUGUGGCAGGCAGGGAGUGCUCAGGGCAUGUUUGUGGGGACUUUUCUCAACAGUGUGCAGGGCUGAAUGAGGGAGUGGAAGCCUCUACUCUGCAGCGAAGAUAAGACAAUUAUGAUCAGCCUCUGAAUUCCCAUCACCAUUGCCACCAGCUGGGCCAUAGGCACUUGUGCAGCCACAUGGAAUACCUCCUUUGUUAGAAGUACCCAGUUUGGACACUGUGGCCCUUUGGUUAGCUUUCAUUUUCAUUGUAUCUCUUCAUACAUUUUUAGAUUAAAAAAAGCUUCAUUUAAUAAAAAUAAAACAUUAUUUCUUUAAAGCAA